This 363-nucleotide ribosomal RNA is filed under the name Triticum aestivum (bread wheat). RNAcentral describes it as "partial small subunit ribosomal RNA". The record is from RNAcentral. Lineage: Eukaryota; Viridiplantae; Streptophyta; Magnoliopsida; Poales; Poaceae.
AUGAUGGAAUCCGAUCCAUUAUGGCCUUGUGUUGGUAGUUGCAGUUACACAAUGAUGGAUUGUGUUUACUUUUUUUAUGGAAACAGAGAAGCCGAUUAUUUUGUUUGCAAGACGGUUAUCCUAAAUUCUAAUUUAGACAUUAGUGAUGAUACAACAAUGUUCUCCAUCAAAAUUGUAAUUUUGGUCGAGCUUAGCUUAGGGUGGGACCACCGGAGAUCGUGUGGCGCACGGGAGACAGAAACUCCACCAGCUAUUGUGUUGUGCCCACCGACAACAAUAACAAAGAUACUGAUGUCAUUGCCAGACAUGACUGCCCUGUUUGCAAUCUAUUGGGUAGUCCUAUUUGGUGGAUUGCAUCUAUAG